Molecule: ribosomal RNA, 467 nt
Filed under: uncultured bacterium
Lineage: Bacteria
Description: partial 16S ribosomal RNA
Rfam family: Bacterial small subunit ribosomal RNA
Source: RNAcentral
GACGAACGCUGGCGGCGUGCUCAACACAUGCAAGUCGAACGAUGACGCCCGAGCUUGCUCGGUCUGAUUAGUGGCGAACGGGUGAGUAACACGUGAGCAACCUGCCCUUCACUCUGGGAUAACCUCGGGAAAUCGGGGCUAAUACCGGAUAUGAGCUCCUGUCGCAUGGCGGGUGUUGGAAAGUUUUUCGGUGAAGGAUGGGCUCGCGGCCUAUCAGUUUGUUGGUGAGGUAGUGGCUCACCAAGGCGAUGACGGGUAGCCGGCCUGAGAGGGCGACCGGCCACACUGGGACUGAGACACGGCCCAGACUCCUACGGGAGGCAGCAGUGGGGAAUAUUGCACAAUGGGCGAAAGCCUGAUGCAGCGACGCCGCGUGAGGGAUGACGGCCUUCGGGUUGUAAACCUCUUUCAGCAGGGAAGAAGCGAAAGUGACGGUACCUGCAGAAGAAGCGCCGGCUAACUACGUG